Molecule: ribosomal RNA, 482 nt
Filed under: uncultured bacterium
Lineage: Bacteria
Description: partial 16S ribosomal RNA
Rfam family: Bacterial small subunit ribosomal RNA
Source: RNAcentral
AUUGAACGCUGGCGGCAUGCCUUACACAUGCAAGUCGAACGGUAACGGGCCUUCGGGUGCCGACGAGUGGCGAACGGGUGAGUAAUACAUCGGAACGUGCCCGAUCGUGGGGGAUAACGAGGCGAAAGCUUUGCUAAUACCGCAUACGAUCUACGGAUGAAAGCAGGGGACCGCAAGGCCUUGCGCGGACGGAGCGGCCGAUGGCAGAUUAGGUAGUUGGUGGGAUAAAAGCUUACCAAGCCGACGAUCUGUAGCUGGUCUGAGAGGAUGAUCAGCCACACUGGGACUGAGACACGGCCCAGACUCCUACGGGAGGCAGCAGUGGGGAAUUUUGGACAAAGGGCGCAAGCCUGAUCCAGCCAUGCCGCGUGCAGGAUGAAGGCCUUCGGGUUGUAAACUGCUUUUGUACGGAACGAGAAGCCUUCUUUUAAUACAGGAGGGUCAUGACGGUACCGUAAGAAUAAGCACCGGCUAACUACGUG